RNAcentral lists this ribosomal RNA (253 nucleotides) under uncultured bacterium. Its description in RNAcentral is "partial 16S ribosomal RNA". It matches the Rfam family "Bacterial small subunit ribosomal RNA", at positions 524 to 776 of the family's 1533-position model. The record is from RNAcentral.
UACGUAGGUGACAAGCGUUGUCCGGAUUUACUGGGCGUAAAGAGCGCGCAGGCGGUCGAUCAAGUCGAGUGUGAAAGCCCCCGGCUCAACUGGGGAGGGUCAUUCGAUACUGAUCAACUCGAAGGCAGGAGAGGGUAGUGGAAUUCCCGGUGUAGUGGUGAAAUGCGUAGAUAUCGGGAGGAACACCAGUGGCGAAGGCGACUACCUGGCCUGUUCUUGACGCUGAGGCGCGAAAGCUAGGGGAGCAAACGGG